UUGACCUCGGAUCAGGUAGGGAUACCCGCUGAACUUAAGCAUAUCAAUAAGCGGAGGAAAAGAAACCAACAGGGAUUGCCCUAGUAACGGCGAGUGAAGCGGCAACAGCUCAAAUUUGAAAUCUGGCCUCUUUGGGGGUCCGAGUUGUAAUUUGCAGAGGGUGCUUUGGCGUUGGCUGUGGUCUAAGUUCCUUGGAACAGGACGUCGCAAAGGGUGAGAAUCCCGUAUGUGGCCGCCAGUCUUCGCCGUGUAAAGCCCCUUCGACGAGUCGAGUUGUUUGGGAAUGCAGCUCUAAAUGGGAAGUAAAUUUCUUCUAAGCNUAAUAUUGGCCAGAGACCGAUAGCGCACAAGUAGAGU
This 357-nucleotide ribosomal RNA is filed under the name Ascomycota sp. FF71. Its description in RNAcentral is "eukaryotic LSU rRNA". It matches the Rfam family "Eukaryotic large subunit ribosomal RNA", at positions 1 to 354 of the family's 3401-position model. Lineage: Eukaryota; Fungi; Ascomycota. The record is from RNAcentral.